Paramuricea clavata is the source of this 1308-nucleotide non-coding RNA. The record is from the annotation of a GenBank genome assembly. NCBI's taxonomy places the organism in Eukaryota, Metazoa, Cnidaria, Anthozoa, Malacalcyonacea, Plexauridae.
GGUUUUUAUAACUAAUGAUACUUCUUAUAUAAACUUAUACAUAUGUUAAAACAACAUACGGUCUGAUACUCGUAUUACAAAAGUAACAUGUGGUGUUCCUCAGGGUCUAUCCUAGGUCCAUUACUGUUCUUAAUAUAUAUAAACGAUCUACCUAAUAGUGAAUUGGUAUCAGAUGGCCAUUUAUUCGCUGAUGAUACCAAUUUGACAUUCGCGGACAGCGACCCAGACAAGUUAAUCUCUGGGGCCGAUUGUAUAAAAAAGUGAUUAAAGUUAACUAUAGUUAGUGGAAACGUCAUCCAAUAAAAAGCGCGUAUUUGAGAGUUAAUCACUAUUUAACUACAAAAUAGUGAUUAAAAAAGUGAUUAAGAGUUUUAUACAACGGCCCCUGGUUAUUUCAGCAGCGAACGAAAAAGAGUUAACUACUUUUUAACUGCAGUUAGCGCUAACUACGUUUUUAUACAACCGGCCCCUGUUCUAUAAAUGAUGAUAUAACUUGAAUAAACUAAGUCUGAAUGCUAUUAAAACUAAAUGUAUGUUUAUUGCAUCCAGACAAAAAUUAAGUACUAUCCCAGAAGAACCUAAUGUCGCUAUCUCCGGAAAUAAAAUCGAAAGAGUCAGGACUUACAGGGUAGGGGUAAAACGCGGAAACGGAACGGAACGGACCGCCGGAACCGGAAACGGAAAAAAGGGUAAAAUGUGGAAAAGAGGGUAAAACGCGGAAAAAAGGGUAAAACGCGGAAAAAAGGGUAAAACGCGGAAGAGGGUAAAACGCGGAAAAAAGGGUAAAACGCGGAAAAAAAGGUAAAACGCGGAAGAGGGUAAAACGCGGAAAAAAGGGUAAAACGCGGAAAACAAACUUUGAAACCAAACUUUGAUUUUGUUAACAAUUUUUAACAAAAUCAAAUUUAAUCUAAUUAAAUACCAUAAUAAAACAAAGUAAAUGUACCUCAUUAUUGUAUUGAGUUCUAUUUUUGAGAAGUCGGCAUGUGACAAAGUAAACUUUCUUUGGAGUACUUUUACUUGGAACGAAGUCGUUUAAAGAAGUAACGUUUUGCUUCGUUAUUUUCAUUAUCUUGCGAAGUAUUUUGUUACUUUCUAACUUUUGUUUAAUUUUACGUGAUGUAUUCAGGAUUUAUUUUAAUUUUGGGAUAGGUAAUAGGACCUCUACAUGCGUCUGGAUGGAUUUCUUAUAUCUUCAACGGGAUCUGGAGAGUAGACCAUGCCGUGAAAUAUUGUAUAUUAGGUGCACGCAUAUAACGCGUGUGUUGUUUUGUAUGUCAAUCCAUUGGAGAAGUCCCCCCCUCCCCU